GGGGUUGUGGCUCUAUGGCAGAGUGCUUGCCUCACAUGUAUGAGGCACUGAGUUCAAUCCUCAGCACCA
This 69-nucleotide transfer RNA is filed under the name Ictidomys tridecemlineatus (thirteen-lined ground squirrel). Its description in RNAcentral is "Spermophilus tridecemlineatus (thirteen-lined ground squirrel) tRNA". It matches the Rfam family "tRNA". Rfam says of the family: Transfer RNA (tRNA) molecules are approximately 80 nucleotides in length. The record is from Rfam by way of RNAcentral. Lineage: Eukaryota; Metazoa; Chordata; Mammalia; Rodentia; Sciuridae.